CAAGUCACCCAGUGCAAUGGUGUGGCUCACUGUUUAAUAGUUUUUGGACAACAACAGUGGUCUACAAUACAGAGGAAUAAGGUAUAUCAGGCUUUGGAUUUAGGCACAAUAAUUGUUGGCUUAGAUCUGCACAUGCCAGCCUCAUCCUUUAAGUAUUAAACUCUGAGCACUGGACAAAACUAUGCUAUGUCCAUUUGCCCAAACUAACAUCAUGAUGGAAAUGUAUCAUAGUUGUAGAUACUUUUAAAUUAUUUGCAAAAUGAAAACAUGUCAAAUUUUAAAAUAGCAAUCUUUUUUAUAAGAUUUUAUUUAGAUUUGUUUAUAUUUACAAUAUACACUUCCCACAUCAACAAAAGCAAGACCCACAAUCUUAAUGACAAAGCAAAACGAGACAGGAAAACAAAACAAAACAAAACAAAACAAAACAAAACAAAACAAAACAAAACAAAACAAAACAAAACAAAACAAAAACAAACACAUUUACCCCACACAUCAAACAAACAAGCUCAACCUCCAUAUCUUCAUAUCUGAUCAACUUAAAUGAAAUAUGUUAAAUAUAAAUAAUCACACACAUACAUCAUAUAUAACUCAAAAACCAUUCCUCUCUAUCAAGUACCCUGAUAUUUUAUCCUUCACCAACUGAAACUUCAACAACAAUAUGACCCUCUGGAUUCUGACCACUCAACUGGCAUUAUUGUCCACCUGUCCUACACUCUAAAAAAUAAAUACCACAAGAAAAACAAACAAACAAAGACCAAUAAACAAACAAAAACCAAAGAACCUCAAACUAGGUUGAAGUAUAAAGGCCACAUUGUUUAUUUAUUCAAUGCUUGUAAUACUUCUCCCCGUUUGAUUUCAAAUUGAGUUGAUUUGUUCUUUUCGGUGACUAUUGUAUUUUCUAUUUAAAAUACAAUCUUAAUAUCUUCAGGUGUGGCAAAACAGGAAAGCAUAAAUCUACAAAACUCUCUAAUUGUUUCCCAGUUAAUAGUGGUGCAAAUUCCCCAACAGCUCAUGUCACCCAAACAUAAAGUGCCAAACUUUAUGGACACUAUAUAAGAUGUUCAAUAAUUAGGAAAACUCUAACAAGCAUGGGGAAACAUUUUUGCCUUGUUUGUAUCAUUAGCAUUACAACAGUAACUGGGUUACAGUCAAUAAUGACUGUUACAUGAAAAUAACCAGUUAAACUUUACUGUAGGUGAAUGACAGGACAGUUAGUUUGAACUGCUUAGUCAUGAACAUCUUCUGAUACAUACAAAAUAAAAUGUAAUUAUAAUUCAGGUGGUUUAGGUGGACAUAACACCAUUGUUAUUUUACAAUUAUAGCCUGAGUGAUUCAACGUUAUUAGCAAUAAUGAAGAAAGCAGCAUGUGUCUGCAUCCGUCCUUUAGAAAAGACUUGCAUCAGAGCGUAAGUGAGCCUUUAGAGACGUGUUUAAGUGUAUCAGUGGAAACAUAAUGCUGCUACUUCCUGUGUCUCUCAUAACCACAAAGCAUAGACUCAAGAACAAUGCUGUGAUUUGUGCAGCAGUACAACCAGUCAGGUUGAGCUGCACAUUUUCCAUCCGCAUUUCUCUCUUCAAUACGUGCUCCUCUUUUCUGCCUCUUCACUGUGUCUGGUCUCUUCCCCCUCUUUCUUUCUUUCCUCCCCUCCCUCAUUUGUGAUCUUGUGCUCAGAGAACAUAAAUCCCUCUCUUAAAUAGAUUCCAAGAAUCAAUCAGCACCUCUGCCAGGCAAGGAGCAAUCUGGAAACUAUUCAAGCCAGGUAAUGGCACUCCAAAGCUGAACAGAGGGAACACGUUGCAUAGUCACACACUACAACAGGUGGGGGACUACUGCCAGUGAGCAGGACUGACUCUCACAGCUGAAAUAGAGUCUGAAGCCGUGACACUGACAGAUUGCAGAGGAUAUUACCUAAACCAUCCUGGCCAUACAGGAUCAAGGUAUUAUGGUCUAUGAAAGUGCAGCUCAAUCAUAAAGAGGUUUUACAUAAGGACGUAAGGUAGCAUGACUUACCAUUACCUUUUUGCUGUGUGAAGUAACAUGGUAGUAUCACUACUUUGCUGAUUUAUUGUGAUGUUUUUAUAAAAAAAAAUAUAGAUUUUGGUGAGCUGUUGUAAUUAUUUACAAGUCUAACUAUUGCAAAUGAUGUUAAAAUUCCUUGUGCAGGUAAAAGUCAGUAGGCCUGCAUGUUAAAACAAGACCAAGAGUCGAAGCCACACUAGCAGCUCUGAGAGGCUGUACUUAGUCCCAGCAGAGCUUUUGGCUAAAUGUUAACAUCAGCAUGCUAACAUGCUCAUAAUGGCAAUGCUAACAUGCUGAUGUUCAGCAGGUAUAAUGCUUAUUAUGCUCACCACAGUACUUUAAGACUGAGGAGGUAGCUCCAGGUCUGAAAAGUCAAGCCAAUGCGGAUGCGCCUUAAACCUGCAUUCUGUCUAAUGACCAGCAGGGGUGUGGCUCAAAAAAGACAUCCGAUUGUAUAGAAGUCACUAAGACAAUGACCCUAUUUCUCACUUGAUUUAUUACAUCAGUAAACAUUUUCCUAACGUGUUUAUGGUCUUAACUGCUAGUUGCAAGUCUUCUUCAAUACAGCAUGAUGUUCAUUUAGUAAAUUAUGGUCCAAUUUAAAGUAAAAUAGACAAUAAAGUAGGGUGUGCUUUAGGGCGUGUCUACCUUGUGAUUGACGAGUUGCUACCAUGGUGACAAAGUUGGUUACGUACAUUAGGUAUCGUAACCCCAGAUUAGAAUAGGUGUACAGAUGUAGCUGUUGCUAUUUUAAACUAUUACAGUAUGUUUUCAGUUCAUGAAAGUUUGUUGUAACAUUUUGGUUGCCUUAAAAGCGUUUGGUUGCACUAAAAGACCCUCUGAGUAGUCGGCUGUUCAGUUUUUUCCGUCUGCAGCUGGGGCCCUCGUCAGAGCCGUCUAGUCCAGACAGGAACCAAGGUCAAGGAAACAUCCUCCGGUAACGCCUUGCUAUCACAUACUGAUAUGACAGUGUUAGUCUGCAAAAAAUGUCUGAAGAUGAUACACAUACAGACAUACACAAGACAGAUGCAAUAUCUACUACUGUACAUGUGUUUGUGUAUGACUACAUGUGGAAGAAAAUACAUCCUUGGAGUCCAUUUUGAAAGCAGCUGGCAGCUGCUCAUGGCCUGUUUGCUUAUGUAAGCCUGUACUGUAAAACACAGAACAAGAGCAAACUGGCUGCGCGGGACAAAGGCCCUCCCUUCACUGCUGCACUGUCAGACGUGUGUUUUUCUGUCUGCCUGCAUCUAUUAGACACAAAAUGAAAGAGAGAGAGAGAGAAAAGAGAAACAGAGAAAGAAAGAGAGUCCUCAGGAGAUUAAGGGACUGUAGGGUCAUACUGUACAAGACUGGUGUGCUGCAAGAUGAGGGGAAAGACGAGCCCUGCUGCAUCCUGGCAGCCCACCUGCUGCUCUCUGGCCCUCAUCUACUGCUGCUCUGUCAUACAGCACACUUCCUUGCACAAGACUCCACGGGUUGCACAAGGAGAGAGCAAGAGACAGGGGAAGAUGGGAAAGAAAAUAGCAUUACAAGCAGAGAGAAUCAGAGUGAGAAUACAAAUGAGAGAAAAUCUGGAGAAGUUUGACGUAGAUCUCCGAGCUUAGCUGUUUAAACUCUGGUCCAACUGCAGCUGCUGCCUGGAGAGCUCGUAUCUGUCUUUUUUUGCUUUUCUGCAACUACAUCCAUACCUCCUUCCACUACUGAGCUGUUUUGUUCUUGAACUAUGUUUCCAUAGCAGUUUAGUUGAGCUCACUUUUUACUUUUAUGUGUAAAUAUACUCACUGUAUGAGGAAAAGUGGAAAGAAUUUACCACAGUAUCAGUGACUGCACAUGACAGUCAUUUCAGAGAUCAAGUGAUCACAAAAGCCUGUGUUUUAUUUCCCUGAAUUGUUGAGUCUGAGAUACAAUAAAGCCUGGCUGACCUAGC
Molecule: RNA transcript, 3947 nt
Organism: Thunnus maccoyii (southern bluefin tuna)
Lineage: Eukaryota; Metazoa; Chordata; Actinopteri; Scombriformes; Scombridae
Exons: 2
Source: RefSeq, a predicted model, not a curated record